Non-coding RNA from Pelobates cultripes (western spadefoot toad), 209 nucleotides. Lineage: Eukaryota; Metazoa; Chordata; Amphibia; Anura; Pelobatidae. The record is from the annotation of a GenBank genome assembly.
AGGAUUUUGUGUGGGAGUGUCUGAGUGUAUUGUACGUGUUUAUUGGUUGUUUUCCAAAACCCUGUGGGUGGUACUAAUGUGUAAGAAUGUGUAGAUAAGAACAAUAAACCCACAGCUCUGUCUGAAGCUGCUUGACCCUCAAAACGAAGUGUCGUCUCGUUAUUGGGGGAUUUGGAUUGUAUGCCGAUUGCCAGGAGUGUAAGCUGAUU